Molecule: long non-coding RNA, 9006 nt
Filed under: Triticum aestivum (bread wheat)
Lineage: Eukaryota; Viridiplantae; Streptophyta; Magnoliopsida; Poales; Poaceae
Description: long non-coding RNA (TAES_LNC008257)
Source: RNAcentral
GACACCGCCAAAGAUCACUUUAUUGCAACGAUGUCGAUCGAUUACAGAAGAUGCAAACGUGCAUCCAAGAACUCUCCAAGAAUAGCUCUAGGUUAAAACUCUGAGUUCCCUCACGUUUUCUCCACCUAAACCGUGGCCUGGACCCCUCUAUUUAUAGAACUAGGCAACACCUAAAAAGAGUCCAUAUCAAAAACGAAACUGACGUCCGAGCUGGCUGCGCUGGACCGAACGCUCAGCACCAGACACGGAAACGAGCUGUGUCUGCUCUCGUGCGUGAGCGCUCACCUCGUUUGCUGCAUGGGCCACGCUGGGCCUGCUCCUCCUGGCAUUUAGCCUAUGUACGCUCAGCUGCAGACACAUGCAACGAGCAAAAUCUGCUCUUGCGCGUGAGCCUGGCUGACGGCCUCCGUCGCGCACGCCGCCUUCCAUCGAUCCGCACGCCUGCCACACGGGCGGCCCGCGCUGGACUGGGCCGCACCCGCUCGACUCGCCCGAUCGAUCUGCUGCCGCUGCCGUGCGCGCAAACACAUGUGCACACCUUGCACCUCGUGACGUCUUCAGUACCGUACAUCUCCGGUACAAGCCAUGUACGACAAACCGGUGCCCUCCCGGAUCAUCGUAGCCUUCACUUCCAUUGUUCCUUCGCACGAACGCCCCGCAUGACCAUGAUCCCCAGACCUCAGCUUCUCCCAAGCUUCGUCCCUCGAUCCUGUCAUCGACCACGUUCCUCCAGCUUUGGCAACACCUGAAAGUGAACACAACAAAUAACCAGAACGAGCACAAGUCCACGACUUGACUCAGGGUAAGUUUCACACAACUCACGCCAUAUUUUCACACAAGAAACUAAUGGAUCAGCACACCAUUAGCAAAGUAUUCAGCCCAAUACAAGUAUCCAUAUCACGUCACACAAGUAUCCAUAUCACCCGAAAUAUCCAUAUCAAUGUUUUACUUAGCACUUGCCAAUGUUGCACAUCACACAUGACUUCACAAUCUCCCCCUUGAUGAAAACAUUGGCAACAUCACAUAAACACCAAACAUUGAUUGGCAUACACAUUCACUUAACUUUCAGAUUUUCAAGGUUUUGAAAAGAAAAAAGUGAAAAAGCUGAAGAUCAACAAAAGAUCCAAAAAUAAGAACACAAAAGAAAAAUUGUGUAAAAAUGUGGUGUGAAUAUGUGGUGGAAAUCUCUCCCCCUUUGACAAUGAAUUUCAUCAAAACCACAAAACAAACUCUCCCUCUAAAAAGAAAUUCUAGAAGCUAGAAAAGGAAAAAUAUUUUUUUAUGUUUCAAUUUUUUUGUUGUAAUGAGCAUUAUAAGACAUCAUGAAAAUGACAAUUCUACGUCCAAGUCAUGCAAAAAGUAGUUGUACUCGACAUGUAUACAAGUAUAAUGCAAUCCACACAUGACCAAGAAUCAAGUAUUGUUACGAUUUAUUGCAAGGCAUGGUCUUCCUUUAUCAACUAUGCCAAUACUUGAAUACACAAUCACUUGAGCAAGUUAUAUUAAUAGCAUUUAAAAAAAAUGAAACUUAAUUUCCAAAGAAGUUGUAUGCCAUGUCAAUUCAACCUUGCCAAGCCUAUAUUCAAAGUACCAUGCCAAGCCUAUGUUUAAAGUACAAUAACAAUCAGAAGCUUAAGACAAUGGUAGGCAAUCAGAAGCUUAAGACAAAAGUUUCAAGAACAACAACAACUUCCAAGUUCAUACCAAAGUGCAAUGGUAAGCAGUCUCGUGAAGAUGCAAUGUGACAUUGGCAUAUCUUUUAUAAAACUUUGCUUGACACCACGUGUCAUUUGCACAUAUUUAAUCUUGAUACUUUAAUAGAUUCAUCAUUGAUAGUAAUUGAGUAACCAAGACCAACACAGCUAACAAAGUUUAACCAUGACAAGAUUUAGUUCAAGUUAUCAUUCGUAUUAGAAAGUCAGGUGAUAAACUACCUUACACGAGCAUACAUAUAAAAUGACAAUUUCCUCAAAGCAUAAACAUGAUUGCAAAAUGUCAUUCCAGGAUAAAAUACAAUGCUCAUUACUUUUUCAGAUUUUUUUUUUGUUUUCAUUUAUCGAAGAAAAAAAACUGAAAAAGAAGCAACAUGAAAAUACCAAUUAUAACUAGAAACACACAAGUGAAAAAGUAUUUUACAUAUGUUACAAAAAGACUCAACUCCCCCUCAAACCAUCCCGUAUGGUUUGAUUACUCCAAGUUCACCUCGAAGAAAAGCAAAUCGAGAAGAAUCCAAUGGUUUAGUGAAAAUGUCUGCCAAUUGACGUUCAGUAUCUAUAAAAUGUAGCACAACAUUUCUUUUUUCAACAUGAUCUCUAAGAAAAUGAUAUCUUAUGUCUAUGUGCUUAGUUCGAGAAUGUUGCACAGGGUUUUUAGCAAUACAUAUAGCACUAGUGUUAUCACAAUAAAGUGGUACACUUUCUAGAGUAACCCCAUAAUCUUUCAUUGUAGCUAUUAUCCAUAAAAUCUGUGAGCAACAACCAGCAGCAGCUACAUAUUCACUUUCAGCAGUAGAUUGUGCAACAAAACUUUGUUUCUUAGAAGACCAAAGUACUAAUGAAUCACCCAAAAAUAAGCAUGUGCCAGAUGUACUCUUUCUAUCAAUUCUACAACCUCCAAAAUCAGCGUCCGAAAAUGCACGCAAUGAAAUACUCGAGGAAGCGGAAAGCCAAAUGCCAAAAGAUUGGGUGCCAUGUAGAUACCUGAAGAUCCGCUUGACAGCUUGUAGAUGUGAUGCACGUGGAGAAGCUUGAAACCGUGCACACAAGCAUACAGAAAAUUGUAUAUCCGGUCUAGAAGCGGCGAGAUAAAGAAGUGAACCAAUCAUACUCCUAUACAUCUUUUGGUCAACAGUUUCACCUUCCUCAUCAAGAUCAAGUGACGCCGUAGAUCCCAUUGGUGUCAUAAUAGGGUUGAGGUUUUCCAUCCCAAAGCGCCGUAGAAGAUCCUUCGUAUACUUACUUUGAUGCACAAAGGUGCCAUCCUUUGUUUGUUUGAUUUGCAGUCCCAAAAAGUAAGUAAGUUCACCCAUCAUGCUCAUUUCAAAUUCCCUGCUCAUAGUUUCUGAAAAUUCUGACACCAAAGCAUGAGAAGCACACCCAAAGAUAAUAUCAUCAACAUAAACUUGUACGAAAAGUUGAUCAUUGCCAUGUUUGAGUACAAAGAGUGUUUUAUCAACGUUUCCCAUGGUAAACCCCUUUCCAAUUAAAAACGUUUUCAACCUAUCAUACCAUGAACGUGGGGCUUGUUUUAAACCAUACAAAGCUUUUGAAAGUUUAUAAACAUGGUUGGGAAACUUUGGAUUCUCGAAACCAGGUGGUUGCUUAACAUAAACCUCCUCAUCAAUAAAGCCAUUAAGAAAAGCACUUUUAACAUCCAUUUGAUAAAGCUUAAAACCUUUAGAUGCAGCAAAAGUCAAUAAAAUUCUUAUAGCUUCCAAUCUAGCAACAGGAGCAAAAGUUUCAUCAAAAUCAAGACCUUCAACUUGAGUAAAACCCUGAGCAACCAACCUAGCCUUGUUGCGAACAAUAACACCAUCCUCACUUUGUUUGUUUUUGAAAACCCAACGAGUUCCAAUAAGAGUAUGACCAGAAGGAGGUGAAACAAGAGUCCAAACUUUGUUACGCUCAAAAUUUUCUAAUUCCUCAUGCAUGGCAUUGAUCCAUGAUUCAUCAGUUAAUGCAUGAGAUAUAUCUUUGGGCUCAAAAGAAGCAACAAAUGCUGAAUGAGUAUGAUAGUCAGAAUCGAUAAACCUUGACCGUGUGACUCUCUCAUCCAUGCUUCCAAUAAUCUGCUCAGGAGGGUGCCUUUUCUGAAUAUGUCGGGGUGCUGAAAUAUUUGACUCAGCAGCAUGCUCAUCCCCAACAUUUGUAGUUGAAGUAGUCUCUUGAGGAUGUCCAGUUGUAGCAGCAGUAGUUGUAGGUGUAGGAACAGCUGGAGUUUGCGCAUGGACAGCAGGGGGCACGCCAUCCUCCUCGUCAUCUUCAUCAUCUACAAAGAUUUCCUCCCCCUGAACAUAUGUUCCUACAUCAGAAAUGCGAGGACUAGAGCCAGAACUAGCCUCAUCAAAAGUCACUUCACUGGUUUCCAUUAUUCGGUUAGUCUCAUAAACAUAAACACGGUAACCACGUGAAUGAGUAGGAUAUCCAAGGAAAAUGCCAUCAUAUGAUCUAGAUUCAAACUUAUCUAGAUUGCCAGAUUUAAGCACAAAGCAUUUACAACCAAAAACUCUUAGGUGAGAUACAAUAGGUUUACGCCCAAAUCAUAGUUCAUAUGGUGUUUUGCCAAUUUUAGAUCUCAAGAACACACGAUUUGAAACAUAACAAGCAGUAGAUAUAGCUUCAGCCCAAAACUUUCUAGGAGUAGAAAAUUCAUCAAGCAUAGUACGGGCCAUCUCAACUAGAGUUCUAUUCUUACGCUCCACUACACCAUUUUGUUGUGGUACAUAAGGUGAAGAAAAUUGAUGCUCAAUGACAAAUUCAUCACAAAAGUGAUUAAAAUAUGAAUUCUUAAAUUCAGUUCCAUUAUCACUUCUUAUUGUUUUCAAAGAUCCUGGGUGCUCAACACUUAGUCUAUGCACAAGACUCUUAAAGUGACUAAAAGCCUCAUCCUUAGAUGCCAUAAAAUAAACCCAAGAAUAUCUUGAAUAAUCAUCAACAAUCACCAAAACAUACCACUUACCCCCAAAAGAUUGUACCCUUGAUGGACCAACCGUAUCAAGAUGUAGAAGCUGUCCUGGAGCGUUAGUCAUGACACUGGUAAUGCGUGCAUGUGAACCUGCAACCAUCUUACCAUGUCUACAAGGAGAGCAUACAAUAUCUUUUUCUCUCUUAAGUUUAGGCAAACCAUUUAUAAGAUUCAUACCACUUAUACGAGUGAGAUGAUCAAAACCAAUAUGCCCAAGUCUACGAUGCCAAAAGAAUAAAUCUGUAGAUGUAUUGGCAACUAGACACCUAAACUUAACAUUUGAAGAAGCAUGAAAAUCAGCCUUAAAAACUCUCCCAAAGCGUGAUAUCUCAAAGACAAGAUCACCUGAAGCAUCUAAAACUUUGCAAGCAUUUUUCUUAAAUGAAACUUCAAGAUCCUCAUCAAUCAUUUGUGAAACCGACAACACGUUGUAUUUCAGAUUCUCAACCAAAGCAACAUCUUUGAACAUAAAUUUGUCGGUUACCUUUACUGUACCUUUCGCUACAACAGUAGAAGUAGAAGCAUCUCCAAAAGUUACACUCUCAGCCCGAGAUGCACGUGUGAGGGAGGAGAACCAUUUUUUAUCACCGGUCAUGUGACGAGAACAACCGGAGUCCACUAGCCAUAUGUUCUCCUUCCUCGCGCGAAGUGCCUACAAACAACAAACACAAGCCGAGGUCUCAGUACUGGGUUUAGAUAAAAAACUUUUGGGUAUCCAGUACUGAGACAUGCGGCGAGAAGGCAUUGCACGAGUUUCUUUAUACAUUGGGACAUAUUUUACAUGUCUCAUGCAGGCAGUAGUAGAAGGUGAAACAUUCACCUUAGGCACAAACUUCGGAGCAACAGAAUUAUGUUGAACAUAAUGUGCCUUGAAGAAAUUAGAUCUAGCUUGCUUUCUUUCUUUCUUAAUAAGUUUAGCUAGUCUAAAACAGGAACCUACAACAUGUCCAGAUUUACCACAAAAAGUGCAUUUGUACCUACAUUCAGGUUUAUCAUGUGGUGUAUCAGCUACAUUUGCACUAGGUGAAAGAGCAUUAGACAUAAUGUCGGCAGAUUUAAAAAUCACAUUGGUUGGCUUAUCAGAUGUUCCAAAAAUUCCAUUGCCAAGUGAUUUAACAAUAGUGGGAGGAUUAGCCUUGAAGUGAGCAUGAGCAUUGAAACCAAGUCCUGUCUUAUUUUUACUCACUUUAGACUUAUCUAAGAUCAUAUUCAGAUUUUUAUGCCUGCUAGAAAACUUUUGCAAAGAAGCUUGUAGAUAAUUAACUUGAUGAGACAAAGCAAGACAAUUAUCACAAGCAGCAUCCAUGGCUUGUUUCCCAUUUUUACAAUUAGCACACGACAAAACCUCAUGGAUAUGUAAAGCAUUUUCAACAUGAGAAACCCUAGCAUUUGCAUCUUUCAACUUCAAUUCAAGAAUAUGACAAUUAUUACAAGAAGUUGAAUCUGUCAAAUCAGAAGUAUCCACGCUAACAUUAUUAAUUUCUUGACGUUUAUGCACAACAAGCUUCUCAUUGUUUUCUAAUGCAGUUCUAAGCUUAUCAAGAGUAUCAUCAUGAAUAAAACGCAAAGAUGUAAGCUCAGAAUAGAUAGAAUUACAAGACUUGCAAGAAUCAUCAUCAGGAAUCAUAGAUUUAAGUCUAGUAAUUUCAGAAUUCAGAGAUGCAAUUUUCAAGUCAUAUUUCUUAAUUCUUUUAGUGGCAUGAUCUAGUAAGGAGCUCAGUUUGCUGGCACUUUCAAGUAAUUCAUCAUAAGAAAGUUCUACCUCAUUGUUGUUGUCGCUGUCGUAGUCGUCGCAGGAGGUAGCACUUUUGCUACCAGCCAUAAGACACAUCCCACUAAUGUCGCUCUUGGCUUUGGUUGCAUCAUCUUCAUCGGAUUCGAUGUCCACAUCACUCAAGCAUGGUUCACCAUAUUCAUUGAUGACCGAGAAAAUACUGUGAGCCACCGCUCGAGCAAAGUCACCCCUCUUCUUAUUCUUAAUGUUGAAAGUGCGCUUAUUCUUCUUUUCCUCCUUGACAUAAUUAUCCCUAUCCCCUUCUUUCGCCAUCUUGGAUAAAAACUUGGGGCAGCUUUGGCGAAAGUGGUUGGGAUCACCACAUUCAAAACACCUUGGAAUGUUGUUCCCACCUCUCUUCCUCGAGCGAACAUUUUGUAGGGCACGUGAAAAACGAGAAGUGAGGAGUGCCAACUCUUCUUCUGGACAUUGCUCUAGCUGUUCAUCGGUUAGUUGAGACAAAGAAGACAGUGCAUAGCAAUGCGAAUAAAUACCAUCAUUAGAGUUGCUAGGGUUAGUAACAAGAGCAAUUGAUUUAGAACCAGUUCUCCUAGCAAGAAUAUCUAAUUCAUGAGUUUUCAGUUUUGAAUAUAAGAUAUCAAGUGUAAGUGUGCUCAUGACAGUAGACUCUCUAAUAGAUGUAACUUUCAUCUCCCAGAUGGACAUAUCUAAAGCACUCAAAAGCUGCCUAGAAGUCUCAGCAUCAGUAUAGGUAACACCUAAUGCACGUAGAUUGCUGAGAAUCUUAUUAAAGCGAGCAAAAAAUUCAUCCAAAGAUUCACCUGUUUUCAUCUCAAACCUCAUGUACUCCUUUUUAUACAUGUCCUGACGCACUUCCUUAACUGAGUUUGAUCCUUCAUGAUAGCUACAAAGUGUGUUCCAUACCUCAUGAGCGGAUGCAAGGUGAGAGACACGGUCGAAGUCACUCCGUUGUAGACCUUGGAUGAUGAAGUUCCUCGCCUUGUAGUUGUUCUCCACAUGAACCAAGUUUGCUGGCGUAAUUGCAUCGUCUGCGGGAAGCACGUAGGGCUUGGCGACUUUCUCCCAGAUGGCGUAACUUUGCGCCAUGAUGUAUGCCUUCAUCUUCGCCUUCCAGAACUGAAAAUCAACACCAUCGAAAAUACAGGGUUUGGUAGAAUACCUAUCCAUGUCUAGCAAUUCUAAUCAACCGGUUAAGAUAAAUUAGAAAAACCUUGCUCUGAUACCAAUUGAGGGAUCGAGAUAGGCAAUCAGAGGGGGGGUGAAUGAUUGCGCGGAAGCAAAUUACAACUUUUCCCAAAUUUCAAACCCUGAAACUCUAAUCUGUUCGUGAUGGUAAAACAGUUGUAUAUCAAGAUCUGCUGAACCAAAAAUUGCGUAUGAAUACUCCAAUUAAAGCUACGGAAAUUAUCUAAUCAACGCAACAAGAAUCAGCUUAAUCGGAGUUACCAAUCAAAAGUUAUGAUCAGGACAGUAACAGAUGACAGAAGACUGCGAAAAUCAAUCUAGAUCUAAUUUCGAGAAUUAGCAAGAAAGAUAGAUUAAUUGCACCACAAACUUCCCUCGAUCUCGUGAAAAAACCUGCAGCAAAGUAUUAGAGAAAUCUAACACGAAAAUUUCACCGAGAUUAGAGAAGCUGAGAGAUGACACCGCCAAAGAUCACUUUAUUGCAACGAUGUCGAUCGAUUACAGAAGAUGCAAACGUGCAUCCAAGAACUCUCCAAGAAUAGCUCUAGGUUAAAACUCUGAGUUCCCUCACGUUUUCUCCACCUAAACCGUGGCCUGGACCCCUCUAUUUAUAGAACUAGGCAACACCUAAAAAGAGUCCAUAUCAAAAACGAAACUGACGUCCGAGCUGGCUGCGCUGGACCGAACGCUCAGCACCAGACACGGAAACGAGCUGUGUCUGCUCUCGUGCGUGAGCGCUCACCUCGUUUGCUGCAUGGGCCACGCUGGGCCUGCUCCUCCUGGCAUUUAGCCUAUGUACGCUCAGCUGCAGACACAUGCAACGAGCAAAAUCUGCUCUUGCGCGUGAGCCUGGCUGACGGCCUCCGUCGCGCACGCCGCCUUCCAUCGAUCCGCACGCCUGCCACACGGGCGGCCCGCGCUGGACUGGGCCGCACCCGCUCGACUCGCCCGAUCGAUCUGCUGCCGCUGCCGUGCGCGCAAACACAUGUGCACACCUUGCACCUCGUGACGUCUUCAGUACCGUACAUCUCCGGUACAAGCCAUGUACGACAAACCGGUGCCCUCCCGGAUCAUCGUAGCCUUCACUUCCAUUGUUCCUUCGCACGAACGCCCCGCAUGACCAUGAUCCCCAGACCUCAGCUUCUCCCAAGCUUCGUCCCUCGAUCCUGUCAUCGACCACGUUCCUCCAGCUUUGGCAACACCUGAAAGUGAACACAACAAAUAACCAGAACGAGCACAAGUCCACGACUUGACUCAGGGUAAGUUUCACACAACUCACGCCAUAUUUUCACACAAGAAACUAAUGGAUCAGCACACCAUUAGCAAAGUAUUCAGCCCAAUACAAGUAUCCAUAUCACGUCACACAAGUAUCCAUAUCACCC